UGUGCCAGCCGCCGCGGUAAUACGUAGGGUGCGAGCGUUGUCCGGAAUUACUGGGCGUAAAGAGCUCGUAGGUGGUUUGUCGCGUCGUCUGUGAAAUUCUGGGGCUUAACUCCGGGCGUGCAGGCGAUACGGGCAUAACUUGAGUGCUGUAGGGGUAACUGGAAUUCCUGGUGUAGCGGUGAAAUGCGCAGAUAUCAGGAGGAACACCGAUGGCGAAGGCAGGUUACUGGGCAGUUACUGACGCUGAGGAGCGAAAGCAUGGGUAGCGAACAGGAUUAGAUACCCUGGUAGUCAAGGGCG
This 300-nucleotide ribosomal RNA is filed under the name uncultured Actinomycetales bacterium. RNAcentral describes it as "bacterial SSU rRNA". It matches the Rfam family "Bacterial small subunit ribosomal RNA", at positions 504 to 802 of the family's 1533-position model. The record is from RNAcentral. Lineage: Bacteria; Bacillati; Actinomycetota; Actinomycetes; Actinomycetales.